RNAcentral lists this long non-coding RNA (40891 nucleotides) under Medicago truncatula (barrel medic). RNAcentral's name for it is "long non-coding RNA (MTRU_LNC008263)". The record is from RNAcentral. Lineage: Eukaryota; Viridiplantae; Streptophyta; Magnoliopsida; Fabales; Fabaceae.
UAAAACAUGCUCUGAUAAUGAUUAUGAAAGCAUGAUCCUGCAGCGAAAGAAUGAUGAGAUAAUAAAAACUCUUAAUGAGAUAUAUACUCUAUGUUGAGUGGGGUACAUAGCUACGCGAGUACCCUUGAUGAUUUGCCUAUACGAAUGUGGAACUGAGGCCAGUCCUAUGGAAUUUCGAGGCAGAAUUCCUAGAGCGUUCUGGAAUGAUUGUACACCGACACCUUCGAAUUGCUUUUUUUAACAGAACCAUCAGAUUCAAUUUUGUGUCAUGUCACAGUUGAUUUUGCUUUCUUCUUCUCACACUCAUUUUUCAACUCAUUUUUCAACUGAACAUCACCUUGAUUCUGAGACAUCUACAUAAUGCAAAUAUCAGAGAAGGAAGAGGAGGAGAGAGUGUCAGAUGAUGGUGUGGGAAAUGUUGAAGGUUGGAAGGAUACUUAUAGCGGGAAUGGAUGCCUAGGUUUUAUCUAACCAUUAUGGUGAGUCAAAAAAAUGUGUAAAAAAACAAGUUUUACCAUUUGACCACCGUCCAAAAAACGUGUUUUAUGUGGUGCAGAAAGGAGCGUGAGUUAAGUCACGUCACUGGCCAAAGGUGCAUCAGUUAAGUCACGCAACAUGAGUUAACUCACGAUGAAAGUACCUAGCGUGACUUAAGUCACGCAUGGGUACUUUCGUCCAUUUAGUUGGGAGGGAGUUUUUUUUUUUUUUGGGAGAAGAGCAUUUUUCAAAAUUGUUAGGACUUAAGCCUAUGAGGGGAGCCCAACCGAAAAGACUAGUCCAUUAGGUGGAAUAGUUGACCAAAUUGUAAUAAUUAGUUAUAAUUAGUUUUUUGUAAUUAUGUUGUAUCAUAAUUAAAUAGUUGAUCAAACGUUAUAUGUUGUAUUCACAAGAAUGAGAAAACUCAACCAUUCCAAUUAUCUUACAUGGUACCAUCCUAAUAUCUCUCUCUCUCUCUCUCUCUCUCUCUCUCUCUCUCUCUCUCUCUCUCUCUCUCAAACCCUCACACACAAAACAUGGUCCCCACGCCUUGCCGCCGUGUUCUUCCAUACCCUGCCGCAAACAUAGCAGGGUGAUCCUCCUUUGUGUCACGCCGACAAUAUCAUGUGUGAUUAUCUCCUUCACGUCGUCUUCAUGUUCCCUCCCGACACCAUAUUGUAGACAUCUUCACUAAAGGACUUCGUCACAUCCUCUUUGAUGAUUUUCGGACCAAAAACGUUCGUGAACCUCCCGCUUGACUGCGGGGAUAGAAUAGAAUAGUUAACGAAACAAAUAGAAUAUUUUGUAAUAAUUAGUCAUAAAUACUUUCCUGUAAUUAUAUUGUAUCAUAAUUAGAUAGUUGAUCAAACACUACACAAUGAUGUAUAUAUUCUAUUCACAUUAAUGAGAAAACUCAACCAUUCCAAUUCUCUUACAGAUGUGGGACUCAUAACAUUGUCACGCCCUUUAAGAGUUGACGUCCACGACGAUUUACACCAUACAUUGACCCAACGGUAGCCUUUUUCUUUUUGGCAGCUUCAAUCACCUAUCAGUAUCUGGCGGAGCACCUUAAUCCAACCUAUAUGUAGUCUUUUUCAUGGUCCAACUCUCAAUGAAAACUUAUGCCCAUAAGAAGAGUCCAAUCCACAAGACUAGCUAGUCCAUUAGGUAGGAAAGUCUCAUGACUUAAGUACCACGUCGAACAUUUUUAUCUACUCGAUGUAAGACUCCUAAUACAUGUGAAUUCAAAUAUCCCAACAGAAAAUCUUUAUCCAAGAUACUGAAAGAAAAAAAAAAAAAAAGAUACACAACAACAACACAGUCAAGGGAAAUUGAAAUAUUUUAAACUUUUGACUCGAGCACUAUUAAGCAAUUUUAAACUCUCAUACUAUUUUAACCAAUUCAUUGAUCCAUCUAGAGCUGUAUCUUUUUUUUUUCUUUUUCUUCCCUCAAACAUCUAUAGCUAUGUAAAUUCUUAAUUUUUUAGUAAUUCGCUUUAGCAAUAUGUACAUCUUGCUUAAUACGACACGACAUAUUGAUAAAGCUCUAUACCAGACUAUCAAAGGACUCUCUCUCUCUCUCUCUCUCCCUCUCCCUCUCCCUCUCCCUCUCUCUCAUUAUAAUAUAAUCAAACCCUAUAUCUAAGAUAUAUUCCCAACACUUCUUCAUUGUCAUCUUUUUCAACAAAAAAAAAAGUACAAAUCCACAUGCAUAUUCAAUCCAUGUGAUCCCUUGUAUUUUGUUGAUUUUCAACCAAUUCAUCAACUUACACUUCUUGAAUGAUUUUUGCAUGGCUAGUGAUGCAACAUUUUCCUCCAACAUUACUUUCAUCUUCUUUUCUUUACUCUUAGCUUUUCACUUUGCUAUGGCAGUCCAAGAACACACUUUAACAAAAGAUGAGGCCAAGAAGAGGAGCGACGAGGUAGCUACUUCAACAAACGAAGAAAGUGUACAAAAUUUGAAUACCACAAAAGGUAACCGUAUUUCUGAUCUACAAAAGCAUCCUAAGGGAAGAAACUCUAGAGCAUCAAAGCCUCCAUUUCAAUGGAAAAACAAGAUCCUCAAUGCUAGUGAACGUGAAGUUCCUAGUGGUCCAAACCCCAUCUCAAACAGGUAAAUAAUUGUACUCAAUAUCAUUUGGUAGAAGUGAACACCUAAGAAAUGGAAUAAGAUUUUGGGUUGUGGUUUUAAUUAGGUUCUUAUGUUGUUUCCUCCUUAAUUUUGUAAUAUUUUAUUAUUAUUUUGUUGUUCAUUUUUUUGGGUCCAUUAAUAAAUGUAUGCAUAGAAUUGAUUUGGGAUUUGGGGGAGGGACCCAAAAACAACGAGUUUGAUAUAUGUGAGUGCAGUUCUAUUCAUAUUAUCAUCAUGAUCACGUACCAAUCAUUUAAACAUACAUGAGGAUAUGUGUAUGUGAGAUUCUAUUUGCAAGUUAGAAGAACAAUUUUAUUUGGAUUAGUUUGAUGAGAAUAUUUUUUUUUUAUGAAGCCCUUAUAAAUUUUUUGGAUAUCUAGUAUCUCACAUGAUUUUGAAAUCAUUGAAGAUGAUAUGUACAUAUAUUUAUGUAGCACUAUUAUUACGGUUUUAUAUGUGAAUAACUUGAUUAUCAUUAGUUAUAAGUUUUAUGUUGUGAAAAAAAUCAUAUAUAUGUUUGUGGAAUUUUAUACAUUAAGAACUUUUGAUGAAGUAAAGAUUAUUCUUGAAAUUAAGUUUACUAUGAAUAUGUACUAGCUAGUAUUGGGACACCAAUGUGAUAGUGAGGAUCAUGUGGUACUUUAAAAAGGCCAUGAAUUCAAGAUCAUUACAAAAAAAAAAAAAAAUCAUUGUACUAAAAAGUUGCAAUGAUGUUAAUUAUUAUAAAAAAGUUUACCAUGAUACAAGAAAGCUACAAUGAUGUUGAUUAGCUUACCAUUGUACUUGAAAAUUACAAUGAUGCAUGGAAUAAUCUAUUAAAUUUUCCUAAAUAAUACAUGUGAUUUUCAACCAUAUUGAUCGAUUGUGAUAGUCAUAACUAUUACAAAGUAAAUAAGAUGAUGAUCAUAUGAGAUAUGAAGAAAUUUGACUGGUCCAUUGACGAAAGAAUUAGUAAGAGAGAGAGAGAGAUUAACUAAUCAUUUGACGAAAUGAUUAGUCAGAGAGGGCUUUGAAAACCUCAGAAAGAAUGAGACUAGUGCCAAGAAUAAUUUUCUCAUAUGAGGGUAACCCAAAUAGGUUUAAAGGGUAAUAACAACUUAUAUAGAGAUCAUGUGGAUCAUGCUAAAGAUAAAUAAAUUUAAAGUCUCAAUCAUAUAUUUAGAGCAAGAUAUCACGUAGUGUGUGAAAAUGUUGAAUUAAAUUUCUUAAUGAGUUAUAUAUCCCAUAUGGAGUGGAGUACGUAGCUACAUGAGUACUCUUGAUAGACUCAUUUAUGUGAAUGUGAAGGUUUGGCUGCUUCCAAUGAAAUUUUGACAGCGUUUCUAAAGCGUUCACUAUACUGGAUAACGUGUAUGGUCGUGACACACGUGCUUUUGAACUACACCUUGAAAGAUUGAGGGUGUGUUGUCUGAGAUAUAGUUCAAGACUAAGAAUCACUCUAGUAUAAUCGGAAGCAUCAUCACUACGCAAUAGUUCAUGUCUAUAAACACUACUGUUUAUGUUCAAUCUUAUGUUGGAUCACCUUAUUGCUCGAUGAAAUAGUUUUAAUAAAAUCCAGUGGAAGAUUGUUGAUGAUUUUAUUAAAAUAACAAUAAAAUAAGAAAUGCAUUUUCAUUUAUUUAUGGGUUUUCUAAUAUUUGGAUUCCAACACCAAGCGUAUUGUUUUCAUGUUUUAAAUGCCUGUGUUUUAAUUAUACAAUUAUUUGGUAACCUUUUUCUUUGCAUUGAAAAUUAAUAAUGUCUGUUGGUGAUUUCCAAAAUAAUGGAAUCACUUUAGAACCAAAAGUUGUAACUCUUCAUGGGAACCAUUCAUAUACAUUGGAACAUUAUUAUUUAUUAUUAAUAAUGAACCAUGACAUUGAUUCAAGUAUAUAUGGUUAUAACCUUUGGCAAAAGGGUGCUUAAUGAAUCAUGGCAUUGAUUCAAGUUAAAUAGCUGUUUUCUCUCAUGUGAAGAGUCAUAUAAUGCACUAUAAAUGCUUGACAUUUGGGCAUUAGUUGAAGAUACAAAAACCACACAACUACACACAACUUGGACAGAAUUUUGUUACAUUAACAACAUAAUUCUUCAUCAUUCUAUUAUUCUAAAUCAUCCAUCAAUUCUCUAAUGCAUGAGUGAAUUGCUGGAACCAUAAAUCUGUAAAAUACUGUUAGGAGAUACGCUUGGUGUGGUUGUGCAAUACACGUCAAGGAACUCAUAGUAUCCUGAAGGGGAUUCGCCGGUCAUUUCUAUUGCAUCCAAUAUACAUUUAUUGGUGGAGGCGAAUCGAACCUAAAGGUUAGUGUGGCAACCCCAUACGCUUUGAGUUUUACAUGCAUGAUCAUUAAACAUUUCAGGUUUCAAGUGCAGCAGCCUCUUCCCAACAAACAAGAUAUAUAACAUUAAAAUGGCUUAAUGUACAUAUGAGGAAGGCUUUGACCAAGUCACAAAAGGAUUUUAUGUAUAGUUCACAUUUUGGCAAGAAAAUUAAGAUAUACUUUAACACCAAAAUGAAGACGUGAGGAAUAUACAAGAAGUCUUUUAUGAUUGCUUUAGGAAAAGAAAAUGAAAAAUUAGUAACGAGAAAUUAAGAAAAUCUGUUUUCUUAAUUUGAGGAGAGUAUUUCCGAGCAAUAUUGAUAGGAUUGAGGGUGUUGGUUUAUUGGGUUCUCUUUGUGCAAGCCUCCAAUCAACCCUAGCCAUCAUUAGAGAUUCAAAUCAUUCUUCUUCAUCUCAUAUACCUUCAUCUAUUCCAUAUUGAAAGCAUAAUAAUUAGAAUCUUAGAGUUUUAGAGUAAAUUGUUAUUUCUCUUUUGUAAACUCUAAUCUUAUCUAAUGAUUUAUGCAAUUAUGUUUUUAUCUCUUAUCUUCUCCAUUUUUAUUUGUGUUUAUAUUCAUUAUGAACUAACCACUUUUAUGGUUAUGGAAUGAUUAGUUAAUAAUUAUGUUGGAACAUUUCUUGAACACUUUAAAUUGUUGCUGCAUCUAUCGAACACUUGGAAUUAUUUCUGCAAAAAAUCAUACUUGAACACACAAAAAUAAUUUUGUUAGAUAAAAUAUUUUAAGAUGAGUCACGAACUAGGUCGCUCUCUUUGAUGUUCCGCGACUCUGUCUUAAUGGUGCAACAUUUCUUUCUUGCCUCAUAGUCCCAGGAUAAAAACAACCCUCCCAAACUUGAGUAUCAGUGCCUCCAAUCUCUAUUAUAUUCAACAUAGCACAUAAUUGCAAAUGAAGGCUUGUCGUCCCUUUUAUAGUACAAGUCAUUUCCUAUCCUUGAGUGUCCUUUUUGGUCUUUUCCCAUGUGAUGGUCUUUGCCUUAACCAUUAAGCAUAAGAAUAUACCUUACCCCCUUUGGUGUACUAUUUGAGACUCCUGUAUCUUCUUCUCCAAGCACAAGAUGUUCUCGGCCCACUUUAGUGCAUAUCCAGUAAAAAUCAAGUCUGAUACGCCGCAACAUUGUAGCUUCCUACAUAGCCAUGAUGUGUUCUUCAAUACUUUCUUCUAUGAGCUGACAACUUUAUCUCUUGGAAUCAACAUAUUCCUUCUUCAUUGUACUACAUUCUCUGGAGAUAGCUCAUGUAAACUUAGUCUUUAAGGCUUGCAAAUAAUGGACUCAAGGUCGUACACUUGUACGACACGUACUGAGAGAUCUUUAACACCAUAGCUUCAGACUCCUUUUCAACGCUAUAGCUUCUUACAUCAUUAGCAUGAUUCCCAUCGUUGUAGUUUUGAACAUCUUUUCAUGACAUGUCAUUCGAACCAACACUAGAAAGCAUAAAAGGUUCCUAAAACUCAAAUAAACAAUAAAUACUAUAAAAGACUAAUUAGACUAAAUAAAGGCUAAAUAUGCUUUGCAUGAACUCGAGGAUCACAUGCAAUGGAAGAUAAAUGUAAGAUAAUAACCGACAUAUUUGCCGGUUAUCAAAUGCAUACAAAUGACUGUAUUUGCCUUGCUUCUAAAACAAUCAACCACUUGAAUCAACGGUAAUUUGGUGGUAAUAUGGAUCUCAAGAUCGACAUUAUUAAGCUUUUGAUGCUUUAGACUGAAAUUUUCUAGUCAAAGUGUUAAAGAGUUUUGGUUUUAUCGAUAAGUUUUGAAUGUGCAUUGAUGUUAUUAUAAGAUUUCCUAAAUUGUCCAUAUCUUUCAAUGGAAGUUUCUUUCCUUGCACGAGAGGGAUGAGGUAAGGUAACCCUUUGUCCCUUUUAGUCUAUUGUAUUGUAGAAGAAAUUCUAAGCAAAUGCAUUUCUCAUCUUGUUUAGGUUGGGAGGAUUUCUAUGAUUGAUGGAGCUAUAAUUGCUUUGGUUCCUUCUCAUGUUAUGUAUGUAGGGUACUUGAUGAUUUUUUUUUCAAGGGAACCUCUUCUAAUCUACUAAGGGGUGUAUUGGAUUGAAAAUUUUAAAAGAUUUUGUUGGAUUGUAUUGAUUUUGUGAAAUUUUAAAAGACAUUUUUUAAAAGAUUUUUUACAAUCAAGAUUCUUGAUGCAAGAUUUUAAUGAAUUUAUUAAGAUUUUAAGGACUUUAUGGAUUUUCAAGAUUUUAAAGAGGUCAAUGAAUUUAAAGAUAUAUGGUAUAGUAUUAUUAGACAUAUACAUCAACUGCAAAAAAACUAUAAUAAAAACAAUUGAAAAAAAUUAAAAAUAAAGUACAGUAGUUAUAAAUCAAACAAUAUAAUAAUAAACGUAUAGACUUUCCUAAAAAAAAUAAGUAUAGACUUUAUUUUUAAAUAUCAUUGAAUCAAUGGACGUAUAAACUUUUAAAAAAAAAAAGAACGUAUAGACCGUUAGAGGUAUAGUGCAGCAAGUUGAUUGAUUAUAAUAAUUGGAUAUAUAAUUAGACGGAUAAAUUCUGUAAAGAAAAUUGCAAGUUACGGUUAAGAAGAUUGCAAGUUACAGUUAUGAAGAUUUCAAGGAUUAUGUUUGGCAAACAAAAGAAAUAAUAUGCACUUGUCAUGACAGAACAUAAAAGAUUCCUGUAGAGUAUCACAAAAUCUCAAGAGUUUGUGUGAGUUGUAGAUAGUCUAUUUUAACUAAAAAGUCUCACACAAUCUAUUCCACAAAUGAAUCCAUUAAAAUCUCUCUAAUUUUCAAUACCAAGAGACAUUUUAUAAGUUCCUAGAAAUCUCAAUUGAAUACCAACGGAUUUCGUUGUAUUUAAAAAAAAGUCUUGAUUGUCUUGAUUGAAUACCACCAAAAAAUUUUCUCAUAAAAAAGUCUUUUAAAAUCCUUUAAAAUCACAAUCCAAUACACCCCGUAAUAUUUAUACGAGGCAACAAAUUAUAACAAAUAUUCUUGGUUUUGCCAUUGAUUCCAUUCCUUUUACUUACCUAGGCAUACCUAUAUUCAGAGGUAAACCUAAGGUAAUUUAUAUUUAAUCAAUUGCAGAUAGGAUAAAGUGUAAUUUAGUUGCUUGGAAAUCUUCUCUCCAUACAUGGAAUAAUUCAAUAUGUCAAGAGUGUGAUUUAUAGUAUGAUGGUGUGUUUCCUCAAAAAAAAAAAAAGUAUGAUGGUGUGUAGCAUUCACAUAUAUGCCUGGCCUCUAUCCUUAAUCAAAGAGGUGGAUAAGUGCACUAGAAAUUUCAUUUGGUCAAUGUAAUAUUGAGAAAAGAAAGUUGGUAAUUGUUGCUUGCCAUAAAGUUAGUAGUCCUAUCGGAGAAGGUGGUCUUAGUUUAAGAUCAAUAAGAGACAUUAAUGAUGCGGCCAAUCUCAAGGUUUUUUAUAGUGAUUUUAGAUAAAUUGGUAAGUGCAUCAAAUCGUACAAAAUAAUAAAGUAAUGAGUUAAUCGUCUCCUCAGGGAUUGUUGUUCAACUCGUGAUGAAAGUAGAACAUAAUCCCGUGAUGAAUCAGUGGAAGUUUAUUAAUCCCCCACAAUUAAACCAUUUACAAUUGUGGGUUCCUUUAAGAUGAGUUAUAGCCAUAAAUUCAUAGUUAAAUUCAAUUAUAUUAGAAACUAAGCAAUUCACUACUGCCUUGUUUGAAUGGAAGUGAGGGUUGUCAAUCUUAAUAUUGCUCCAUCUAAGAUAUGAUAUAAAAACAGACAUAAACGAAUUAAAUCAGACUUUAAAUUAUAGACUAAAUAAAAACUUUAUUAAUAGAAUCCAACAAAUAAGAAAGGUUCAUCGAGGAACCCUAAUCGAAGAGGUUUUGUUGCUCAUGGCAACCGACAUCAUUACAAAACAAUUGAAAAACAUACCCUAGAGAGAACAAUAGAAGGAUGGAUCCUCUGCCUUGAAACUCGUGAUGAUUGACCUUUGCCUUUUACCGCUAGCCUUCUGAAUGAAUCAAAGAGUGUGCAAGGUAUAGUGAAUGAUUACUUAAGGAUUAAGAGAGUGAAAAUAGAUUUUUUUUCCCACAAAAAAAGGAUUGGAAAACAAGCAAACAACACUCCCUACCCUUGUCAAUGCGCAGGGGCGCAUGAGGCAGCCCCUCCUGCGCGAAUUAUGCAGUUUUCAACCCUUUUUCAAGCGUUCUUCUGUCUUGUGAUGCCUUGGAAAUUCAAAUGAUUUUUCUUCACUUUGUAUUGUCUACAUAUACCUUCUAAGAACCAUUGAACUUCAAUCUUCAUAUCCUCGAUUCUUCACAUGAUGUAUUGUUUUUCCGAUUUACAUGAUUUCUCACGAAAAAGACUCAAACCCUCACGCAAAACACAGUCUCCGCGCGCCUCUUUAUCGUGCAACCAUGCCCACCACUGGGUUCUUCCAUACACCGCCGUACACACAACAACGUAAUCCUCCUACUCAUGCCAACAACAUCAUGCGCGACAAUCUCCUUCGUGAUAUCUUCAUGUUCUCUCCCGACACCAUAUUGCAGGCAUCUUCACCAAAGGACUUCACAUUCUCUUUGAUGAUUUUCAGACCAAAAACAUUUGUGAACCUCUCGCUUCAACUGCAGGGUGUGAUAUAAUAGUUGACCAAACAAAUAAAAUAUUUGGUAAUAAUUAGUCAUAAUUAGUUUCGUGUAAUUAUUGUAUCAUAAUUCAAUAGUUGAUCAAACAUUACACAUUGAUGUAUAUAUUCUAUUCAUAUGAAAUAGAAAACUCAACCAUUCCAAUUAUCUUACAAAUGUGGGACUCCUAAUAUUGUCAUGUCCUUUAAGAGCCGACGUCUGUCGUCCACGAUGACUUUCACUCUACAUUAACUGAUGGGAAAUCUUUUCUUUUUGGUAGCUUCAAUCACCAAUCAGCAUGCGGUGGAGCAUCUUAAUCUAACAUAUAUGUAGUAUUUUCCAUGGUCCAACUCUUAAUGAAAACUGAACAUUGAUGUUGACAUUUUAGGUUUAGCUGAAAAACACUUGUAAAAGACAAAAAUGUCCAUCGACAGUUAACUGCCGCCAGUUAAAAAUUCAUCGGCAGUUAACUACCGAUGGGGUUAUAUUGGAAAAUUAUUGUUGUUUUUCAGCCAAAUACUAUAUGUGAACAACAUUCUUCAUGAAAACUUAAGCCCAUAAGAAGAGUCCAAUCCAUAAGAGUAGUUCAUUAAAUGUGAAAGCAUCAUGGUUUAAAUACCACGUCGAGCUUUUUUAUCUACUCGGCGUAAGACUCCUUACACAUAUGAAUUCAAAUAUCCCACGGAAGAUCUUUAUCCAAGAUAAGGCAAACAAAACAAAAAAAAAAAGAGGGCAAAGAAAAGAGAAGAAAUAUGGAGAUACACAACAAAAUCACAAAGUCAAAGGAAAUUGAAAUAUUUUAAACUUUUGACUCGAGCACUAUUUGUCAAUUUUAAACUCUCAUACGAUUUUAACUAAUUCAUUUAUUCAUCUAUAGCUAUAUCUUUUUUUUCUUUCCCCUCAAAUAUCUAUAGCUAUGUAGCAAUUGUAAAUUCUUAAUCUUUUAGUAAUUUGCUUAGCAAUCUGUACAUCUUUCUUAAUACGACACAACAUAUUGAUAAAGGUACCAGACAAUCAAAGGAGGGGUUCACCAAUCUCCACUUUCCUCUUUUCAUACUUAAUAAGGACUCUCUCUCUCUCUCUCUCUCUCUCUCUCUCUCUCUCUCUCUCUCUCAUUAUAAUAUAAUGAAACCCUAUAUCUAAGAUAUAUUCCCAAGAACACUUCUUCAUUGUCAUCUUUUUCAACAAAAAAAAAAAAGUACAAAUCCACAUGCAUAUUCAAUCCAUAUGAUCCCUUGUAUUUUGUUGAUUUCCAACCAAUUCAUCAACUUACACUUCUUGAAUGAUUUUUGCAUGGCUAGUGAUGCAACAUUUUCCUCCAACAUUACUUUCAUCUUCUUUUCUUUACUCUUAGCUUUUCACUUUGCUAUGGCAGUCCAAGAACACACUUUAACAAAAGAUGAUGCCAAGAAGAGGAGCAACGAGGUAGCUACUUCAACAAACGAAGAAAGUGUACAAAAUUUGAAUACCACAAAAGGUAACCGUAUUUCUGAUCUACAAAAGCAUCCUAAGGGAAGAAACUCUAGAGCAUCAAAGCCUCUAUUUCAAUGGAAAAACAAGAUCUUCAAUGCUAGUGAACAUGAAGUUCCUAGUGGUCCAAACCCCAUCUCAAACAGGUAAAUAAUUGUACUCAAUAUCAUUUGGUAGAAGUGAACACCUAAGAAAUGGAAUAAGAUUUUGGAUUGUGGUUUUAAUUAGGUUCUUUAUGUUGUUGCCUCCUUAAUUUUGUAAUAUUUUAUUAAUAUUUUGUUGUUCAUUUUUUUGGGUCCAUUAAUUAAUGUAUGCAUAGAAUUGAUUUGGGAUUUGGGGGACUCAAAAACAUGGAGUUUGAUAUAUGUGAGUGCAGUUCUAUUCAUAUUAUCAUCGUGAAACGUACCAAUCAUUUAAACAUGAGGAUUUGUGUAUAUGAAAUUCUAUUUCCAGUCAUCAUUACGUUCAUAUAUGUAUAUAUUUUUUGUUGUUGCUUUUUAGAAUAGUCAUCAUUUUUUCUUUUUUUUUUACAUUUGUUUAUCACUUUGUCGCCAAAGAACGGGAAAAUUUAUUCUGCUAGUAGAGAUAAUCUGAGAAAUAAUUGGCUCGUCAAAGGCUCGAAUAGUGAAUUGUAUCACAUAUACAAAAGCUAAUAGGAUGCAAUAUAUACAUAUGAUUAUGCUGGUGAUAAGCAUUCAAAAUUUCUAAGACAUUGAAGAAAAUUUUGAUCAAUGAAAAAUCAAAUUGCAAAACUUUGUGAUAACUAAAUUUAAAAUGGGUUGGGGUAAAUUUAGAUUUUUUAAAUAUAAGUUUCUUUUAUCAUAUUUAAGAAAAAAAGAAAAUCCCCCUGCAACUGAUAGUUUAACAUUUCAAUGUAACCAAAAAAAUAGUUUAACAUUUCAAAAGAAAUCAUAUUCCUUCAAAAAAAAAAUCAUAUUAAACGACUUUUAAAAUAUCAUUUCAGAUUAGUAUCACCUCCAUUUAUUUAUACAUUAAUCCCUCCGUCUCAUAUUAAUAACAUUUCAGAGUUCCCUACAAAAAAAAAAAACAUUUCAGAGUAUAGACCUUUCUCAAAAUAUUGUUGAACAUACUAAUUUUCAUGAUAAGAUAAGCAUCAUUGACUGAAAUAAUUUAAUUAAGAGUAAUUAAGAAGUUAUUGGAGUAAUUAGGUAUUUAGGUUUUUUUUUUGGUUACAAUUAGGUAUGUAGGUUUUUUUGAAGGAAUUAGGUAUGUAGGUUGAAAAUAUAUGAAUAUACACUUAUUUGUUUUUCUUAUAGAAAAAAUAAACUUAUUCGUGGGCUUUGCCCUCUCUUGUAACAAAAAUAAAAAAAAAAUAAACUUAUUCGUUGAAAAUUAAUAUUAAUGCUUUCGUUGAUACUAAAUACCAAAUAAUGAGACUAAUAAAUAUUAUAAACCGCUCAUCAAAUAUCAAGUACAUAAGUUUUUUUUUUGGGUGGUGGCUGGGAUUCGAACCCCGAACUUUUGCAUAUAUUAUACAUUGUCCUUACCAACUGAGUUAAAUUUACGAGAACAUAUCAAGUACCAUAAAUUGUUAUGUAUGUUAAUGUUAAUGCUCUAAAAAAAAAAUAUUGUUAUGUUAAUAUUUUCUUCUAGGGUUUAACCCAAAUUAUUUAACUUAUUUAACUCAUUUAAUCGUUCAAUCUAUUUGAAACACCUAACCUAUUAUUCUAGGAAAAUCUUGUUGCUAGUUAUCAAAUGUUUUCAAAUUUUAACACUAAAUUAUUUCUAUCAAUUGUUUUUACCCUAACUACUUUCUAUAAACAUUCAUUACAUAUUUCUUAAGAAAAGUUGAUAGAAUAAUAAUAAUGUAUAUUUUUGUGUAUAAGUAAUACUAAAUUAUAACAUUUGUGUAUAAGAAAAUAUUGGGGUAGAUUGCCUUUUAAAUUUUGUACACCUGUAACGUCCUGUGUGGUUGAGUCUGAUUGGAUGUCAAUUAUCUCGUUGUAUCUCUCCCUUUUAUCGCUAGUCAUAUACCAUGUGGGGCUAUAUACAGUCAUGUUAGUUGAGUAGUGUCUAUAUAUAUAUAUAUAUAUAUAUAUAUAUAUAUAUAUAUAUAUGUACUCUUUAUUUAUAAAUGUAAUCACACACAUGUAGAGAUCGUCUAAUGCUUACACUUAUUCAACAUGUUAUUCUCUCUCUCAUCAUACUCUUUGUAUAUACGCUUUCACAAUACUAAAGAAACUUCAUAACAAUAUAUAUCUUUUUUCAUCAUAUAAUUGACAUAUCAUAUUUAUCACAUCAUUCUCUCUCAAGGUCUCAAUUGAAUUUUUGGUGUAUCAAAUAUUUUUCCAAUCACAAAUAAAUUAUCAUGCAUGUGCAAGUAGCAUCAACCAUUGGUUUUUCUAUCAACCAUUGGUACUAUUAGUUUUACAUCUUAUGGUGAAAUAUUCACUUUAUAGGAGUGUUGUUUUGAAUUGAAGUUUCUUUAGUAUUGUGAAAGGGCAUAUAUCUUCCUAUUGGUAAAGGAUCCAAAGUAUAAAAUCACUUGGGGAAGUGACAUAAUGAUUCAAAUAUUUGUAAUGCAAGCUUUUGUAUAUGACGAGGAGUUACUUACUGAACACAAUAAUGAAAUGUGAAUUGGGGUUAAAAAAAGUGUCCAAAUAAAAUCCAUCACCCCCCAUUGUUUUGCGUGAAAAAGUUUACACAAAUUUAGCAUUCAAAGUUGUGUUUGAAGGGUCAAUAUCCUUCUUCCUCAAUUACCCAAAAUAUCCUCCUCACUUUCCCUAAACUUGCAUAGUAUCCUUUGUUUCUUUACUUUAAACCCAAACAAAACAUUACUGGCUCACUCAAUUUUUUUUAUAGUACAUAUUCAUUGUCUCUUUCCUCUUGUUAUUUACCUUCUUGUUUGUUUAUGCUAUAUAUAUAAAAUGCCAAACCGAUUUGGACUAAUUAUGAGGUCCUUUUCACUUGUUUUUCUUAUCAAGAAGAUGUUUAUUUAAUUUUUGGUAACUCUAUUAUUGGUGACAACCUUAGUCAUGAUUUCAAAUUUUGGGGUUUAGCUACAAAGAUUCAUUAUUGUUAAUCAUCAUCCUUUAGCAUUCUAUGGCAUGAAAAGCAUUCACAUUAUAAAAGUGUGACAAUGUACGACUUACUAAAUUCCAAUAUUUGAUUUGAUCAAUCGAUAUUUUCCAACACAUCAUAUCCCGCCUCGUCCCAUACUUACAGAGACACAUUGACAACAAUAAUAAUUUUAAAAAUAAUUAAUUAAUUGAAUGCAAUCACAUAUUUCGUCACUAAACACUGCGAUGCGAAAAAUACAUCUUUGAUCACUAGUGUCUCUAAUAAAGAGUCACACAUCGGAUAAGAGAUGACCUGACAAUGUGUUUAUAAGUGGGGGCAAUCCUCACCUCAUAAGUCAGCUUUGUGUGGUUGUGUUAGGCUCAACCACGAUUUCUAAGAUAACAUCAGAGCCUCCUUCAUGAUCCGUUGGGACACCUGCUAUCAGGUUUCUGUUAUCCAGUCACCCAUCAUUUGUGUCCACGCUCCAGAUGUUCAGUGCUGGCCUGACAAUAUGUUUAUAAGUGGGGGCAAUCCUCACCUCAUAAGCCGAUUUUGUGGAGUUGUAUUAGACCCAAUCACAGUUUCUAAGAGUCUCUACUAUAGAGAUAUAUAGGUUCAUCAUGUAUGUUUGGAAGUGGAGCUAAAAGAGGGGGUAUGUGUAACAACACUAGUUGUAUAUGAUUUUGCCUACACCUUUGGUUUUAAGGGGUCUUGUCACUUUACUUUGUUACCAAGACUCAACUGAAAAAUGCUUUGUAAGAGUAUGGCUAGAGAAUGUUUUUUCAAACAAAAACAAAAGAUAUAAAAAGAACUGAUAUUUCUUGCUUUGACAAAAGCAACCAAAGUGCCUUGACAGCUUUCCUUUUUACGACUGUUUUCUUUAUUUGGUUAUUUUGGUUUCCUUUUUAAUUAUUCCUUAUCUCUUUUCAAUAUUGGUUUUCUUUUUCUGGUUUUCUUGGGUUCUGAUUUCAGAAAAGGGUAAUUUUUUGUUAGGAUUAUUUUCUGUCAUUGUUACAUCAUGAAAAAUUUAUGUCAAUCACAUGAAAUAUUUAUACAUCCAAAGUUGAAAAUUAUGUACGAUGAUGAGAUAUGAGAUUAAUAGUUUUUUCUUUUUGGUUCAGAAAGAAAAAGGUUUUUCUUUUAAUAUUUAAACAUUUUUAGAUAAUUUGGGUUAUAUAAAUUAUUGUAGAUUGCCUCUUGUACGAAAAAAAAUUAUUGUAAAUUAGUUGUGGCUUAACUUAACUUAAUUCUAAACCCGAAUUCUAAUUUUGUAAAGAAUUUAUUGAUAUUUCAAAAUUUGUCCUCAAACAGUAAUCAUACAUCAUCCGUUCACAAUUAUAAAUAAAAAUCUACAUUUUAAGUUUAUUGAAUAAGGGAUGUAUGUGGUCUACACUUAAUCAAUAAACCUAAAAUGUGUACUUAUAAUAGUGACCGGAGAGAGUAUGUAUUUUAUUUUAAUUUUGACUUUCAAAUCAAAUAUCAAUCUUCAAAAAUAUAUUAAAUAGUUAAUUAUGGCAUACUUACCUCUCUCCUACACAUUCUCAAGAAAAAAUAAAAAUAAAUUGAAGUUAGAGUUCAUAUAUGUUAUUUAUAAUCUAAUUGUGAGCUUUGAAAUACCCUUUUUCAGGGUAGAAACACUUGUAGCUUCCAAGUCACCUCAGAUUUACAACCUCACAUUCCAAACAUGCUAUACAACACUGCCGAUUUGUUUUAUUGAAAGAAGCUUGGUAGCAAAUGUUACUUAUUGUUAUUGUUAGAAUGAAAGUGAAAAAGUCAUGAUCAGUGAAAAAGUUAUGUUAACAAAAAUAUCAAAAUUGUUAGGUCGAACGUCGUGAUUAAUGAUUUUUAUUUCAACGUAUGAAUGCAAUUAGUCAAGCUAAGGAUUUGAAGAGGAAAUUGUUAGCAUUGAAGUCGAAUCAAUUCUAACUAUCUACAAUAUUAAAACUUUUUCCAAUUUGAUAAUCACAUGAAUAAUUUUGAUCUAAAAUAUUCAAACACAUUUAUAGAAAUCAUUUUUAGGUAAAUGUAUCAAAAUAACAACACUUUACAUUCAACUCAAUCAUUUCAUUUGGUGGUUUUUUCAUUCAAUCCAUUUGUUCUCCAAAAUUUAUAAAACCAAACGUUCAAUCCCCGCGGUCAGCCGUUCAUUAAAGAUAGGACAAUGCUGAACUGUUAAAUGUGUGAAAGUAGUUGCAGUGAACAACACAGUCGUCAGAUGUCUCCACUAAACCAUUGAACCAUGGUUGGCCCGCAUGAAUCAUGAACAACACAGUACAUGAACAAGAUGAUCUACAUAGAAAGAAACCUUGAUGCCAAAAAGCCAAGCAAAAUUAUGUUUUUUUUUCAUUCUCUUUCCUUUUCAUUGUGUGCAUGUAUGUGUAAAUACUAGAUAAAUAUCACUACUUCUAGAAGGUAAAUGGUCGUCUCUUCUACUUGCUAUAUCAAAAUUCUAGCUCUAAUCAAAUAAAAAUCUUUAACAAGGAAAUAAACCAAAUCAGCAUAUCUACAAGUUAUUUAAUCUCAUUAUACCAAGACCAGGAUGGACCUACAGGCCAUGGUAUCAAGAUCCCUUACACUCAUAACCAGUGCAUAUAGAAUAGUCCUUCAUGUGAUCCAAGCCAUGCACCCAAAGAAGAGUCAUGUGUGUAUUGGUUUUCUUCUUCUGCUUUAAACUCUGGGCACCAAAAUAACACAUUCUAACAUAAGUUACAAGAAAACCCACCCUUAAAGUGCUUCUGACAACAAAGGGGAAUAUAUGUAACAUUGAAAGCAGAAAGAGCAAAAGCAUGUCGUGCUUACUAUUAAAUGUUUGAUAGCACACAGUGGAGAGAACUGAAUUAGAGAACUUAUCCUCCAAAAGCAAUUCACCAGACUUGAUACUCCAUAUCCGUAGCUUGCAAUCCUCUCCACCUGAGAUGACUAAGUCAGAAUUUUCAAACAAAAAUGUUAAAGAAAUACUAAUAUCACUGAAAUAACACCCACCUGACAUAACAUAUCUCUCAUAUGGGUCAACACCGAGCUGUAUUUGAGUAUGGGAAUUCACGUGCCCUUCAUAAGAUUGAACCGCACCCCUCUGGACCAUGCGACGGUCGUAUAGCCUUAUCUAAAAAUGAAAAGAACGUGUAAUUAAGAUGUAAUUUCUCUCAUUAUAUGAAGCCCACGGAAAAAUAGCUUCUACAAAGAAUUUUAGGAACAUCAUUUUGUCAGUUCAGGUAACAGAUAUAAGAAAGAGUGAUUUGGUUUGUGCUUGUAAGUGCUUGUAAUGCCUUCAUCAAAAAGAGAGUAAGGCCCAACCCAAAUUCUAAGAUGGCAUCAGAACCUAUCUAAGACAGGACCGAUUGUACCACCCACUCUAUAUGUCCAGCUCUUAGCAUGGGGGGUGAGUAUCAAGAGUACGACAUUGGAUGAGAAAAGGCUUGAAAAUAUGUUUAUCAGUGGUGGGAGUUCACUUACAAGCCGGUAGUUGAGUUAAGCCCAAACCAAACCAAAAUUCUAAGAUCCCCGUGGAAAUUUCACCCAACUACAUGGGAUCUCUAUUAGACUUGGUUUGUGCACAUUAAAUAACCAAAAAUUCAUUUCAAUGUAAAUAUAAGGAAUUCAGAAUGAAUUCACACAAAUGCCUAAACAUGAGAUUCUGCAGCAAAUUAUCAGAAUUUGACGCCAUGUAGAAGUGGUAUUAAAAAUAAAUCUAAGUAGAAGUUUCCCAAAGAAUAAACUAACCGAUCCAUCCAUGGAGCUUGCCAAGAAGUACUGAUCAUCAAAUUGAAGUGAUGCCAAACUAGUAUCAAACCCACAAAAUAAAAAACAGAAAUUGGUCAGUCAAAAUCAAUAAAAUUCUAAUCAAUUAAGAUAUAAGUCAAGUAGACAACUUAGAAGGAAAAAGCUUACUAACCUGGAUAUAGAUGAAGGCAUCUUAAUGGUAUGUGAAGGAUAUAUGCUUCCUUGAAGCUGCAAAGUGAGGGCAUAAGCAUAUCAACAAUAGUUACAGCUAAUAAUGACAACAUUCACAUAUAUAAAAAAAUGUAUACUGGGGUUUAAAUUUGGAUUCACAAAAUGCAGAAGAAACUACUUAAGGACAUUAAAUAGUGAAUAUUGAACAAAAGUGAACAUUUUUUAUACAUCUGUAUCACUCCCCAAUAUUCAAUUAUGGUAAAUUUGAUUAUUUCUUGAAAUCUUCCACCUCUCUAGUCUUUAGUCUUCCACAAAAUGCAGAAGAAACUACUUAAGGACAUUAAAUAGUGAAUAUUGAACAAAAGUGAACAUUUUUUAUACAUCUGUAUCACUCCCCAAUAUUCAAUUAUGGUAAAUUUUGAUUAUUUCUUGAAAUCUUCCACCUCUCUAGUCUUUAGUCUUUUUCAUUCUUAAUUUAAAAAAUGAAGAAAAUACCUUGAACCAAUCUUUUUUAAAACUUCCAACUUUCUUAUUUGAAGAUACAUAUGAUAUCCUAUGCUCAGUAAGUCUACUAGAAAGCAAUCUUUUCUCUCGAAAAUCUACCGAGACAACUGCCCCAUUUCUGAGUCCACAUAAAAUCACAUUUCCCUGCAACAACAAUAAAUAAUUAAAAUAAAAUCUUUUAAGAAUCACAUCCUCAAAAUAUUUAUCAAAAGAUAUCACAUGAUUUUGUUAGAAAGCUGAAACCAUAAAAUAAAAAGUGAUAGAAACCAACAAAUAUCACAUUUCAUUUUACGAAGGAAUACAUUGAAUAAAGGAAGGGAAGGAAAUAUGGAAUAAAAGUAAGCAGGAAGAAGGAUAUAUAUAUAUAUAUAUAUAUAUAUAUAUAUAUAUAUAUAUAUAUAUAUAUAUAUAUAUAUAUAUAAACAUGACCAUCAAUGGAAGAAUAAACAUGACCAAAAAUAAAUAUGACCAAAAAAGUUUAUAUAUUUUUUUUAUUAUAUAUAUAAUAAAAAAAUAACGAAAAAUAAUCAUGACCAUCAAUGGAAGAUCCCAUUUCUAAGGACAAAGAAGCACCUUGAAAUAUACAAUUGACUCCAUGCCAAAAUACACUAAUUAACUUCAAAUUAAGUUUUUCAGUCCUUAUUUUUACAUUCAUGAAAUGGAUAGUGUAAAAUAUAUAAACUUUGUGUAUAUUCUGUGUCUAUAAUGAGAUCACACAUGUUGUACUUUUAAUGGUUUUACAAUAAAUGCAUUGCAUGUUUAAUGAGUAAGCACUAGCCUAGGAAGAUGUAUACUCUAGGAGUAAUAAAAAUCAACCUAGGAAGUUGUACAAUUAAAGAAAUAUCUAAAGAUUCUUAAUUUUAACAUAUAGGAAUGUUACUUCAAAACUGUCGAAAAAUAUAAAGAGAGGAAAAAUUGUGGGCAAAUGUGUGGUGGGGGGGCACAGAUUGAGAGAUAGAGGUUUAAGGGAGGAAGCAUGCAAAGGCGGCGUGAAUCAUAAAAUUAAAUUGCAUCAUUCUCUUCAUAUUUUUGAAGUAAAUUCCAUUUAAUGCGAUGCUCCAGGAAAUAAAUGUCUGUCUCCAUGUUCCUAAUUGAGAAAUAAGACCAGGAAAAAAUUUGUACAUACGACUCAUCUUUAUGUAAACCUCUGAAUGGAAAAUAACUGUGGAUCCUUAUCCUUAACACAAACAUUAUCUAACUAUAAACAAAGAGUCCUAUUUUACAUCCAACAAGAAAAACAAUGACAACAGCAACCACCAAACUUUAUCCCACUAGAAGCGAUUGGAUAAUUCCGGCACUGUUUUCCAUUAAACCUUGUUAUAAUCUUUUCAAAAUUCUCAUGAGCAGUUAAAUAAUUCUGUCUAUUUCCCUUUUGUGGUAAAUUUAAUAGCAAAACAGGUUAAUGAUAUGAUAUGAAUAGUAUACAUACCAUCCGUUUCACUUCAUAUUCAUUAAUCACACUCAAUAAAAAUUGCCAUGAAGACAAGAUCAAAAUGUACAUUUAAUAACAAUAAUAGGUUAAUGAAGAUGUACCAGGCAAUAUUUUUACUAGGGGUAACUUACUGAAUCAACAAUCUGUUGUGCAAAAACAUCACUUUUACAACGUAAAAACCAUGACCUUGUCCCACUUUGAAGAUCCACCGAAGCACCUCCCUGAUUAGUACCUGAGAAAGAUAUAGAGAAACAAAAAUGAAUAUCAAGCAAAAGAUUAGAUAUAAAAUUAACAGGGGAUAUUUCUUAAGGAAAAGUGUAUAUAUCGCAGUUGUCAUCUUUAGGAACUACCAAGUCUUUAUGUUAUUAAAUCAAAUUCUAACGGUGCAUUUUUUACUAUCUUAGCUUGAUAAAAGAAAAAAAGACAUAAAACAGAAAUGAAACAAAUCAUUCACAACCUUAUUGAUAAAGGCCACACCAGAUCACUCUGUGUAGAACUUUACAAAGCCGAAGCUCAGCCAUAAAGAGAUUUAAUGGUUGGAGAACUAGAACAGUAUUUUCCAGAUGCAACAUAUAAUCUAGAAUUCGUGCUAAACCAUUAAGAAAAGUAUGCAUAUUAUUGCCUAAAAUGAAUAUCUCUUAAUCAAAACUCAACUGGGUUGGAAAUUUGGAACCUAUACAGGGAAGGGAAGUGCCAAUAAGAGAACAUGAGCGAUACUAUAUUAGCAUGGCAAUGAAUUAACUCUAACUGUUAGGUCAAAAUUAUGAACAAAAUGACAUUUGGCUGUCUCUGAAUUAAAUAUAAUUUGGCACAAGCACAAACAACGUAGCAUGUGUGUAUGUAAAUGAGAGAUAGGGAAAGAGGGAAGAAAGAGAAAGAAGAGCAAUGUAUAACUUACCAAUUAUAGCCCGAUGUCUAAUAUAAUCGUAUUCAGCUGUCCAAAGGGUACUAUUGAAAGACGUUAUUUCCUCUAGUCUGCUCCAUGUGUUCAAUAUUCCUUGUCCAAGAUCUAUUGGAUCAACAAGACUGAUGGUAUAAACAGAUCCACCAGAUGUUUCUGAUCCCAGCGUAGUAAAUCUAUUUUGCAUGUUAAGAUCUUUAACUUCAUGUUCAACUGUAUCCAAAAUAUGCGGAAUUGGAUGUCCCAAUAUCCGUAGUAUAUUAUACAAAAAAUGCUAUAUUAUUAAAAUUAAAAGUGAGAAGUGCUAAUCUUGCAAUUGAAUCUUUGUAAUUCAUGCAUAAUUGAAUGUUUAUAUUUAAGUAGUGCUUACAGGGUAAUAACAAAAUCUAAACCCUGAAUAAAUGAAUGACAAAUUAAUUAAAGGAUACAAUAUAUUUCCAACAAUUGGAUUGUCAUUCGCAGCAUGAGGGGAUACAUUUGGACCCAAUCUUAUACAAGAUAUUCUGGAGGACAUAAUCAGUGUAGCUCCAUUAGGUCUGAAAAGCGGCCCUGGGACUUCGUUAUGCUCAUCUGUUUUCCCUUUAAUACGACUCUUCACACAAUCAGGCAUCCACUUUACCCCAUCAUCGAAAUUUUGCCCAAUCCUUCCAACUUCAGAAAAACUGUGUGUACCAAACUUCACAAGGAACAACUAGUAAAUAGUAAUCAACAUUGUGAAUCAAAGUUCACCAAAAUCAAUUAAAAAGUAAAAAUGUUUUUAUGUUCAACAGUUCAAGUCCAACCAAUGUGAUCUAAUCAAUAUGCAGGAUCAUCAAAGUACUCAAAACAUUUGGAGGUAUAUCGGCAUUUGCUGUCACUUUAAGUUCUAUGAUAAUGUUGUAAAAAGAAGAACAACGCAAAAUGUAAACUUAUAGUGAAUAAUUUAAUGUCAAGAUGAAAAUAUACUGACUGAAUGAUUAAUACGGAACAUAUUAACUGUCAAUGGCAUCAUUAGUAAGGUAGGUGAUUAACUUAAAAGCUAUAAAACCAUCUCUUGAUAUUCUUUAUGCAAUGAAAGCGUAUCUAAUUCCUCUUUCCCUAGGAUAAUAACUGAAGAUCAUGUAUUCCUUAUUGUAUUGAGUUUCUCUGCUUACAGUUCAGACAAGUACAUUUUUAACUUGGGAGGGUAUAUCUCAAAUAAUUAGCACAGAUGCUUUUAUGCAAUGGAAUGAAUUUAUCAUUUUGUACAUUUUGACAAGAUAAUUGUUAUAAUAUUAUUAAAAUAUCUUAUAAUAUCUUGAUAAUAUGUUAGAGCGCCUAAGUUUAUCUAGUAUUGUCGGUUUCUAUAUUUAUUUUUUGUUAUCAAAAACAGUUCAGGUGAGUUAGAUCACGGUAACUAAUCAGGGUUAGAGCACGCCUCAAGGCUCAAAAAAGCACAAAGAAGUCCACACAUUGGCAGUGGGAGUUGAAUCCACACCCUUGCAGCUUGCCAACUGGAUCAAGAUGACACAAAUUUUAUGUUAAAUCACAGUAGUUCUUACAACACAACACAACACAAAUCCAAAAACCUAUACCAUUAUUACUAACUUAUGUUGCCAGCAUAAGAUCUAAUAAUUGAGGUGCUUCUUUGCAAAAAGGGGCAAACUGGUUCAAAGUUUAACAUGGCAGUGGAACAAAAAGGUAAAGCGUUGAGGAAAAUGUAAACCAUUUCCAAAGCUCUAUCAAAACACAACACCAUUUCAGAAUUUUAAAAUGGCACAGGUUCAAAGAGGUUCAUAAUAACCGCUCACACGUAUCAUCAUUCCACCACUAAUAAAAUCACAAUCUGUAAACUCAAUUAUCAAAAUCCAAGAAUUAUUAAUGUUGAUAUACAACAAUUCAAUGGUUAGAUUAGAUAUUCUCUCAAAUGUCCUAGAAUUAGUCAAAGAAUGCAAGCAAAUACCAAUGCAAACGGAAAAAAUAAAUUACAAAUUACCUCAGCGAGCCAUUUAUGCUGCCAUUCAAUAAAACAUCAGUUCGAAAUCUACCCUCUGCUGUCUGCACAUCAACAUUUAAGUGUUCCAAAGCACUAAUACCAAUCCUAUUGGUUCCCUGAUACUUCCAAACCUGCAAACCCAAUCUUACAUUAGACUCAACUCAAACACAACAAUCACAUUAUCAAAAUAAACGGAACCAAAAUAGUCUAAGAAAUUAACAUACGGCAGGCUGAGAUGUUUGUAUUUUCCGGAGUUCCUCAGUGAAGUUACACUUGCAAUAGUGUGAGGCAUUGACAUGACGACCAUCUAACUCCCUAAUCUGCAGCAGCUUAGACGUUCUGUUUCUAAGCUUCCUGCAAGAACUCCUAUUCUUUUCCUGUAACUAAAAUCAAUCAAACUUCAGAAUUCAAUUCAAUGGCUUAUAUAAAAAUUGAAAAGGCCAAUACGGAAAUAUUCAUGUAUUAUACACAAUGAGUGGGGAUCAACUUAUUCUAUGAGUAACUUUUGUUAUAAUUACUCCUCCAUAUAAAUCACUAUAUGCAUUGAAUUUCAUUAAUCCAAUUGUUGAACAUGUCAAUAUUAUAUUAAUCAUCAUGCACACCAAACUUCAGAAAAAAAAACAUUACAGUCUACCUCUUUUUGGCAAACAAUAUAGGAUAGCGGAUAAGAUAGCUGAUAGCAUAUAAGCUAACUGAUUGAAUUUUAAUUGUUCGGUAAAAUCAACAGUUGAACUAGCUGAUAAAUAUAAAAUGACAUAAAAAGAUAGUUUUAAAUAUAUUUCAAUUUUUGAGUAAAGAUAAGGAGGGUAUAAACAACAGAAAAAAAUGAUAUACUAUAAAUUAUAUGCUCAAACGCUACUUAAAGUAGCAUCUAAGAAAACUAUAAGCUUGUGAAAAAACUUUAUAAGCUCUUAAGAGAAUGACUUACCAAACAGUUAUACGAUUUUAUACACUGUAAGUUAAUCGCCAAAAAGUAGCAUUUUGGUCUUGUCAAACAGUGCCCUAAUCUUAUCUUAUAGUCAAUAUUCACUUGUAUUUUAACACAAUAAAAAAUAUAUGCAUUCAGUUAAAGCUAUUUGAUGAAGCAUGAAAUAGUUGAAAAUUCACGUAGUUAAUAAAUUUAAUAUGAAUUUCUAAUUUGACAGUUGGAUUAAGAUUAGAAAUUCAAUAACCAUGGUGAUUUCUAAAUCAGAGUUACUCAUGGAGUAAAUGGUUCUCCACUCAUACAUUGUCAAUGUAAAUUAGUUUUACACAUCCAAUGAAAACUCGUCAUUUUCCCACAUAACCCCACUUUUGCAACUGAAAUUUAAAAUUAACGGUAUGACGUAAAAAAACAAAUUUCUACCGUAAAACUAAUUUACACUGUCAGUGUAUGCCCAUUUUUUUCUUUAUUUGUUGUUAGCCUGGCCUAUGGCUAACACGUACUCAAAUAAACACACAGGGAGGGUGGUGACCCGGGAUUCCACAUAAAAUGUCCUCACAACCAAAUCAUUGCGUCGUAACGACGAGAACCAUUGUUUGCCUAUUAAACUUUGUAUAGAAUAUAAUAUAAUAAUAAUAAUAUACCUGAGAGGAAGAGGGUUGGGAAGGCCUUGGAGUAAUGAUUUUGGUCUUAGAAGAAGAAGAGCCAGGAAUGGGACCUUUGAUGGGGAAAUACCUGUUCUUCUCUGGGUCAAAGUAGAACCCAGGAAGCUCUGUCUCAAAAAAAAAAUAAAAAAAACAAACAAACAUGAAUCAAUUAGCAUUAAUAAUCAUUGUUAAUUAAACAUUAUUAGCAAAACGAAAACAAACAAAAGUUUUUUAGAUAUGUGUAUUGAACAAAUUGUUAAUUGGUUAACCUCGUGCUGGUGGCAUGUUCUUGAUGCUUCCAAACCAGAGAAAAACGAACGACCUAAGAGGUUGGUGGUUUGCGGGACUGUGGAAAAUGUUAACGAUCUUAUGCGGCGGAAUCAGUAUUUGUUUGCAAUUUAUACCUUGUCAUUUUUUAAUAGUUAUUGAUUUUUAAUUUGAAGCUUUUUGCAUUAUUUUAGUUUUUUUUUUAAUAAUUAUUUUUGUGAGUGAAGUAUGGAGAAGUGGAGAACUCAAGGUUGACCCUCGACUCGUGCAUAUCAAUAUCAAUAGGGUUACCAACUGAUUUACAAGACUAUUUUGAUAAUUUUUACUCUUCCGUUUCUAAAUAUAAGCAAAAUUGACUUUUUAGAUUCAUUCAUUUAAUGAUGAAUGUCGUUCAUAAUAUGGACCACAUUCAUCAUUAAAUGGAUAAGCAUAAAAAGUUAUUUUUGCUUAUAUUUAAAAACGGAUGGUGUAUAACUAUAAUAAUUAUAAUUUUAGAAUGUCUAUUUUUUCAUAUUAAAUAAAUAAAUAUUUUCAUUGUUACUUUUUAAUUGUUAUUUUUUAGAAAUUUUGUCUUUCUAUUUAAUUGUCAAAGAUAUAUUGUAGGAAAUAUAUAAUAAUUUUGGCAUAAACUAGAGGAAAUUAUAAAGAGACUAAUGUGUAUCUAUAUUUGUUUUUCUAUAGAGUUUAAUUGUAUAUCUAUUUUAUUGAACAUGGUUAUAAAUUUGUAUGAUUCUUGUUUUUACAAGUUAAUUAUAUAUUAAAUCAUAGAAUUGUGCCAACAACAAACUUUGUUUUUGCAAAGAAUUGGUGGAAAUGAUGACUUAUAUCUAUUUUGGUGAGGCCUCCUUGAAACUUCCUUUCACCUAAAUCAACGAUACAAGUACUAUGGCCUAGGAGGGGAUGUUGGUCCUUAUGUAUGAGAUAGUUUUCAAGGAAAUGAGAUUUGGGAUGCCCUUUUCCUCCAUCGAGAAGAGCGUUUUUGAGUAGUUAUAAUCUCACGCCUUCUAAACUUCAACCAAACUUGAUGGCGUUCAAGAUAGUAUGUUUCCAUUUGGAUAUGCUUCCAACCUUGUGUAUCUUCUUCGAUAUAUUUAUUUUGCAAAGAUCGACUGCUAUGCUAUCUAAGGCAACAUCAAUUGGGUUUCUCUGAAAUAGCCUACAAAAACAUUUGAGAUGCUCGCGGUUUCAAGAAUAAGUAUUAUCUUAUUUGUCCUUAGAGGAUGGUUGCGACUUCAACUCUAAUGGUGACGAGGACAAUCCAAGAUGAUGUCAGGGUUGUGAUUACUAACAAUGUCUUCGCGCCAGUUACCAAGCAAGUGCUUCAGUUCCCUUUAUACUAUACUAGAUUGAGGAUCAUUGCAAGCAUAGGAGCAAAGAGUAUACUUUUUCUACGAAUAACUCUUACGGACAAAUUGUGACCAAAACUUGCUACAUUCACACCUUUAGGUUAGUUAAGUCAAUCUGAUGAAGAGGCAAAACACAUUUUCAGUAAGUUGUAUCCUUUUAGUUUUGAUUUUGAUCUUGCAUUUGUUAUAAUUUUCACAUGUCUCUGACUUUGAUUCUUCCUUUGUUCAGGUAAAAUGUCUAGCUUUCAAGAAAAUUUGGUGAAAUUGAACCAAAAAAAGAAAAUUGCUAAGGGGAAGCUCACGACUUUGAAGAAUAAUAUUCCUUUACAAUUCAAAUAUGUAAAAUACAAUCGGAGAAAUAUCUUAACUUUUUUUUUUUUUUUUACAUAUUUUACAAUUUAAAAUCCUUAGGUGUAAAAAUUAUGAAAAUUGUAUUUUACAUAUUUGAAUUGUAAUUUUUUUGAAAUAUCGACAAGAAUAUCUUCAAAAAUUGAAAUAUCGACGAGAAUUGUAAAAUCCAGACAUUCUCAGAUGGGAAUAAAGGAAAACACCUUUAUUCCUCAAUUCCCCUAAAGGGGUUGUGGUGAAUCAUACUUCUGAGUACAACAGUGGUGAAACAUUUGCGAUUGAGGAAUCCUCAAUUUCCCUCGAUAUUUUAAUUUAAAUGACCAAGGUGUUUUCCUAUAUAUGUUGCGCAAUAUGACUGAGAAAUUUGAACUUCAUAGCUAAAGGGGUUGUGGUGAAUCAUACUUCUGAGUACUACAGUGGAAGCCUUAGACACAGGGAGGCACCAAGGUCUACACCUAAUAUGCUAUUACAAACAUGGAUUUUCUCUUGGUAUAAAUUUUGCAAUGGUAAUCACGUGAUUGCAUCUGUAGUUAAUAGCACUGCGAUAGGUGCUAGAAUUGUCACAGAAAAUAGUUAUCAUCAUUUUCAAGAACCCAAUGAGGUUUGCUUCACUCUGCAGUACCUUGCUUCACUCCUUAGCGCCUUGCAGGUUUUACUCCAACAACCAGAUAGUGGAGCUUUAAAGCCAUCUACACCCCAUGUAUGUAAUCUGAUAAGUACCAGUUAUAUUCAAAGACCAAAACACAUCAAUUAAAGGUUCCUUCAUGUUGCCUGCACUCAUAAUAUUGAGUCUCAACUCUCAAGCCCCUUUGUAUGCAAUCUGAUAAGCGAACAUUGCUUCUUCUUUCUCUUCAAAACCCUAUAAACCAUUCAAAAACCCAAAGAAGCCGUCCACAAAGAGCCACCGAGCGAGGUCGAAAACACGUCAAAGACUAUAAUCUUCAAAUUCAAGGAAAAGGUUCCUAAGUUGAAGAAGAAACUAAAGGUUGUUUGCUGGUAGAAAGAUAAAUGUGUACCAUUUUUUUAUUUGUUUGGCGUUUGAUAUGAAUAACCAAGAGUGAAAGAAUUGUGAUCAUUGACAUUUUGUGUAAUCUAUUGAGGAUCGGAAGUGUUUGAAUAAGUGAUUUUUGGGUAUUUAUCUGGGUUCAUAUGUGGGAAGAGAAGCAAAUGUGUUGGCAUAGGAUUUUUGGUCGGUUUUGUGGUUCUUUUGGAGGUAUGGAUUUGGGUGGACAUGUGUUGAGAGAACAAUUGGUGUUGUGUGGGGUUAUAUUCCCUAUUGUUUUUCAGAGGUUGUUGGUUACAUUGUUGGUUCUUGUAAUUGUUGUUGGGGGUUUUGGUGCGAUCAACUGAUAAUAAGUGUUGUAAGUUGUUUUGUGGCCACUUGUGAUGAAGUUUGAAGGUUUUUUAUCACAAUAUUUGUUUAUGUUGUUGUGUGUGGGUUUGAAUUUGGCUUUGAUGCUGACUUUGUUUUUGGUGUUGUGUUUUAUUGAUUUCAGUGGUAGCUCUCUAUUGGUUGGUGUGUCUUGUUGCUUUUUCAAAUUUUGUCUUUGAUGUACAAGGUGUAUGAGUUUUCUUUUGAGUGUUCUGCAUAUAUAUGACACCCUUUGCUAUGUUAUUUCAGUAUUGUCUAUCUUAGUUCGUCUUGUACAUGAACUUGGUUAUAAAUAAAUUUUGUCGUUUUAAAAAAAGAAGAUGAUAUUUUAUAUCUCAAGGAAAUUUGUGUAUGCUCAGUGAGUUGUUGAUUAUGGAUCUUCUUAUAUGUUGGCGGUCGGGUACAUAUCAUGUCUUCAAGGGUUUGGGUUAGUUGAACUCAGAUAUGGUUUGUUGCUCGCGAUCUUUAGUGCGUCACAAUUUUUGCUUUUAGCAAUUUUGUUUCGCUCUCGUAAGCGUGUUAGUAGAUUGCGCCCGUAAUGUGUGUAUGCUUGCUUGUUGGCUCUUUGCCCUUUUGGGUUGUUGUUAACACAUUUAGUGUCGAUUUUCUUUUAGGAAAAUGCUAUUUCUCUAGAAAAAUAGCAUCAAGAAUUUUUCAAGACACAACUGGCAAGUUUUAAUUUCAUGAUUUAUUUGUUCACUUCUUAUUUUUCGAGUCACACCUCUUUGAAUUGUGGCAAAUAGUGCAUUGUGAUUGACUGCUCUUUAUUCUUGAAGAAUUAUUGAUGUUAUUUUUCUGGAAAAUGCUAGAUAUCAAGAUGAUUUUAUCAAGAAUGACAUGACACAAUAAUCAUCCUUAGAUUUCAAUCUUAUUUAUUAACCUUUCAUAAAAUAAAAAAAAUACAUAACACCCACCACCUCAUGAUUUCUGGCCAGGCUGAGAUUUAUUGGCUAACAUUAAUUUCAGGACAAUUUCUUGAUAAAAUCUAAGGGUGAUUAUUCUGCCAUGUCAUUCUUGAAUCUUUCUUAAUAAAAUCUUUCUUGAUAUAUAGCAUUGCUCUAUUUUUCUAGAGAUAUAACAUUACUCUUUCUUUUAUUGCUUUGGUUGAGUUAGUUUUUACAUUCUCUAGUCAUUUGUAACGUUUUAUUUUUUAUUUUUAAUCUAUCUAGAGUAUUAUGGAUAAUUCAUCAUCACUUGUUUCUCAUUUGCCUUUUAAAAAAGGAUUGUGUUAACCGGUGCCUCCGGGGUACUGGUUAAAGUAUCUAAAAAAGAAAAAAUUAAAUUAAAAAUGACACUUUUUUGACUUUUGAAAAUUGAUUACACAAUUUUCAAUGUAAAAGCUACUAUAUUUGCUUCCUUAACCAGUGUCCCAAAGGCACCGGUUAAUAUUUUCCUUUAAAAAAAAUAUGGACUACUAAUAAAUAGAUCAAUUGUUGAUAUUAUAGAAAUAUCAUGAUUCCCUAAAAAAAAAAUAUAUAUCAUGAUAAAAGAUGAAUUCAAUUAUUAUCAUACUAAAAAGGCUUAAUUAGGGUUGUUUGGUUUGUGUGUUGAAUAAAAUGGAUUCCUUGUACCUACAUGCUUUAUUCCUUGUUUAUUUUAUGGUUGAGCAUAGAGGAUAGGCAGGGGCGGUUCUAAGGCUCGGCGACCCCGGACACUCGCCCGGGCUCCGGGCCAAAUUUUUUGCAAUUUCUUGUGUAAAUCCCUAUGAAUUUCUUAUAUAAACCCCUAUAAAUUGGGCAAUUUCUUUACAUUUUUUAUUAUUUGCUUGCAAUUUCUUAUGUACGCCUUAUAAAUGUGUUGCAAAUUUUUUUUUGCCCGGGCUUUACAAUAUUCCUGGCUCCGCCACUGAGGAUAGGUCUAAAACUGCGAUUUCUCUGCAUUUCUGGAGUUGAAAAUAGGAUGUAGGACUAAAACUGCAAAAAAAACAUGAUAAUUUAUGGACAAUUUUGUUCGAUUUGAAAGAGACAAGACCAUUUUCGUGAGCUGGUCAAAAUGCGAAGACCAAAAGUGUAAUUAAGCCUACUAAAAAUGAAUUUAAUUUUUGAUAAUCUCUCUCUCCUACAAAAGAAUUAUCAAUAGACUUUCACUUUUUUUUUUUGGAAAGAAAUAGUCUCCCAUUACUAUCUACUCAAUUUGGAAUAGACGAAUCCUAAUAGAAGAAAAUGUCAUGUUAACUAAUGUCUCUCAAGCACUAAUUAAAAAAGUUUUUUUUUUAAUUAAACUUUUAAAAAAGUAUAUACUCACUUUUUAAACAAUUUCUAAUACGAUCUUUCUAAUUUUAUUUUAUUAAAUAGUGCCACAGCUGCACUAGUUAAUAUUUUCAUAAAAAAACAUUAUCAAUUGCUUAACAAAUCAUUUUGUUUUUUUAAGAGAAAUUCAAUUGUCUAAUAACAACAAGGUUAAAUUAGACAACAUUAGUCCCAUACAUCCUAAUUCAAUAUUGCAAAAUACCGAAAUUGUUAUGCCAGAUUUAUGACCGGAGUUUGAAUCCAACUAAGGUUUAAACCUUGAACCUUACAUAUAUAAUGUAUUGUUCAUACUCCAUACCAAUUGAGUUAAGCUCACGACGCCAUCUCAUCUAUAAAAAAAAAAAAGUAAAAAAUUAGACAGCAUUAUUCCUCCCCCACCACCAAAAAAAAGACAGCAUUAUUGAGCAAUAUAAGGCAACGUUUGUCGUUAUAUGUGAUACGAAUAAAUAUUCACGUGAUACUGAAACUUCGUGAUAGUACUUUUGGAUACAUGUCUGCAAAGUAUCAAAAUAUUUUAUUUUUUGUGUAAAUGUAUCUUUUAUCAAUUAUCAUUCUAUAGAAAACAUGAAAUUUUGAUCCCUAUUUUAAAUCCGGUUUUUGGUUCCUUAAUUUCAUUAUGAUUAUUUUUUCUUGGCUUAAUACUCCCUUCGUUCCAAAUUGUAUGAUGUUUUGGGCAUUUCACACAUAUUAAGAAAUGUAAUUAAUAUUGUGUGGGAAAUAGAUAUUAUGAGUUGUUUUACAAAAUUAUCCUUAAUAAAUGAUAUGAGAAAGAUAAAUGAAAGAAUUGAAAAAAGAAAGAGUAAUAAAUAGUUAAGGAUAUAAUAGGAAAAAUAACAUUAAUGUUUCAUUGGUAUUCUAAAGUGACAUACAAUUUGGGACAAAUAUUUUUUCUAAAGUGACAUACAAUUUGGGACGGAGGGAGUAGCAUUUUUGCCCCCUAACUUUCACGAAGUUGUGAUUUUGACACCCUAAGAAAAAACUACAAAACCGCACCCCUAAGUUUUGCAACUGUAGCAAUUUUGACCCACCAAGACCAAAUUUUGGUAAAAAAAAAACAAUAGAAAAACACGUGGCACCUCACUUAGGGUGCCACAUCAGCGUAGACCGAGUCAAAAUUAGCCUUGGGGGCCAAAAAUGCCACAGGUGCAAAACUUAGAGGGCGGUUUUGUAGUUUUUUUCUUAGAGACCAAAAUCACAACUUUGGAAAAGUUAAGGGGCUAAAACUGCUAUUAAGCCUUUUUUCUUCUUAUUUUGAAGUUUUUUUCUUCUUGAUCAUACUUUUCAUUAAUGAUGUGGUUGAAUUGAUAUGAUCACACCAGCAAAACAAAAAAUAUAUCAUAAGCAUUGCUCCAUUAUUUAUGACCGGACAAUGAGAUGAAUGAUCUUAUUCGAUGAUGCACAAAUAACCAAUUUUUAGGUAUUGGUAUGAAUUGAUGAAUCAAGCAAUUAUGCGUAGAGAGUGACGCUGCUAAAGCAUAAUUUUAUUUUGAGAGAAUGUUGGUUAGUGUUUUGUUGUAUCAAAGUAUUAUUGUAAGUCUAUGUGAGCUUAACUCACUUAGUAAGGACAAUGCAUAAUAUAUGUAAGAUUUGAAUUUGAACCCUAAACACUGUAGAAAAAAAAGUAUUAUUGUAAAUUUACGUUGUGUUGAUAAUUUUCCGUACAAUGUAUCACUAACCAUAUAAACAUAAACGUUGCUUACUUAAUAUGCAUUAUGAUUAAUUAACGUCAUGUGUUUUUAUAGUAUAACUUAAAUUUUAAAUUUUCGUGAUGUCAUAAGAGAGCAUUACGACUUAAGCCACAAACACAAAUAUUUUGAAUUUAAACACACUUCUAAAUCCUAACUGUGUCACUCUCAUAUAUAUUACAAGGUCAUUCAGCCCUACUAUCAAAGCAAAUUAAUCCUUCCCUUCCCUAGCUAGUACCAUAGAAAUGUUUCCCUUGUUGUGUUACUCUCUCCUUUUUCUUAUUUUCCUUCUUACUUGCAAACUUAUUUUCCAAACCAGAAGAAAAUUCAGAAACCUUCCCCCAGGUCCACCAUUUCUUCCCAUAAUUGGCAACCUUCACCUCCUUCAACCUCCACUGCACCUCACCUUUCAACGUAUAUCACAAAAAUACGGCAACAUCUUUUCCCUCCGAUUCGGUUCGCGCCUUGUAAUCGUGAGUUCAUCACAAUCUGCAUUUCAAGAAUGCUUUACCAAAAACGAUGUUGUAUUAGCCAAUCGACCGUAUAAUAUUGCUGGCAAGUACAUCUUCUACAACUGUACCACCAUAGGAUCAUGCUCCUAUGGUGAUCACUGGAUCAACCUCCGUCGAAUAAGUACUCAAGAUCUUCUUUCGAUACAACGAGUACACUCCUUUUCGGGGAUUCGAAGAGAUGAGACCAAUAGGGUGAUUCAUCAAUUGGUCAAGGAAUGCUCGUGCUUGAAAUUUGAACAAGUGGAGCUAAGUUUUAUGCUUCAUAACAUGAUGUACAACAACUUGAUGAGGAUGAUAUCUGGAAAGAGAUACUAUGGGGAAGAGAUUGACGCGAAGGAUGCGAAAGAAGCGAAGGAAUUUAGGGAGACGGUUGAGGAGAUGGUGAAAUUAACAGGGGUUUCAAACAAGGCAGAUUACUUGCCCUUUUUAAGGUGGUUUGAUUUUCAGAAUUUAGAGAAGAGGUUACAAAAUAUAAGCAAUAGAUUUGAUGCUAUCUUGAAUGCACUCAUUUAUGAGAACCGUAGUAAGAUGAAGCCAGAGAAUACCUUGAUAGAUCAUCUCUUAAAACUUCAAGAAUCACAGCCUGAGUAUUAUACCGAUCAGAUAAUCAAAGGACUUAUUUUGGUAUGGAUUUUAAUUAUUACUAUUAUUAUUAUCAAAUGAAGAUCAUACUUGCAAUGAUAAAAUAUAUGCUUGAAAUUUUAUACUAUCAUAUUUAUAUUCAGUAUUAUAUUUGUUAUUCUAGUUACUCUAAUUUUAAUUCAAAAAUGAAUUAUGAUUUUUUUAACACAAAAUAAUCUUUUUAUAAAGUAUGAGAAAAUACAAAUAGUACUUGAUCCAUUAAACGGAGAAAAAUACAAGGGUAUUCAACCGACCGAAAAAUGAUGACUAUCACCUAAAAAAUAAGACAAAGAAAAGGAUAAUGUUUCAUGAACACCCUUUUCUUCAUACACAUUAUGUACCACUCCUAUGUGAGAGUGCGUGAAUGUGAGUUUUUUUUUUUUUUUUUUUUGUGUGGGGACCAAAUAAACACAUGUUACAUUUGUGUGUGGGUGUACAAGUGGUACAUGCCACCUAAGGUGGUCUAUGUAUCACUACUCAGAUUUAAAUUUCAAUUUGAACAUUCAUGUUGUAUGUUUUUAAAUUAAAUUUUAUUAAAAAAAUAAUGUAAAAUCUUUCUUCCUAAGAUAUAUUUGUAGAGACAAUUGUCUGACUAAAAAUAGUAGUUAAAUUUGAAGUUACAUUUAUCAAAUUUAUUGCUUAUAAAAGUAAAAAGAAAUCACUUCAUAUUGAUAAUUUGCAUCUUUUAGGCUAUGCUCUUUGCAGGAUCAAACUCAACAGCUGUAACUUUAGAAUGGGCAAUGUCUAAUUUAUUAAACCAUCCAGAAGUGUUGAAAAAAGCAAAAGAGGAAAUGGACACUUAUAUAGGACAAGACCAUUUGUUAAAUGAGGUUGACCUUCCAAAACUUCCUUACCUUAAGAAGGUCGUCCUAGAGACACUUAGGAUGUACCCUCCAGCUCCAUUGCUAUUUCCACACUUGUCUUCAGAUGACAUUGUUAUGGAAGGAUUCAAUGUUCCACGUGACACUAUUGUGCUUACUAAUGGUUGGUCAAUGCAAAGGGACCCUUUGGUGUGGAAUGAACCCACACAUUUUAUACCUGAGAGGUUUGAUAAAGAAGGAGAGGAGAAGAAGUUGGUUGUUUUUGGGUUUGGAAGAAGGUCUUGUCCAGGAAAGGCCAUGGCUUUGCAUAACGUUUCCUUUAUUUUGGGAUUAUUGAUUCAAUGCUUUGAUUGGAAACGAGUGAGUGAAGCAAAGAUUGAUAUGAGUGAUCAAAAUUUGUUCACCUCAACAAAGUUGGUUCCAUUGAAGGCCAUGUGCAAAGUCCGUCCAAUCAUCAAUAAGAUUAAUUUGAAUAAUUGAUGAUAAAUUUACCAAAAAAUAAAAUAAAAUUGGACCCAUUUGGAGUUGGCCUAGUGGUUGACUUGAGAUCUUGAAGUUUGCUCCUCUCAAGGUUUUAGGUUCGAUUUUCUCUGGUGUCAAUUUCAGUGGGCUAAGUCCAUACGGAGCUAUGCUCUAGCUUUAAACGGACCCCCCAAGUAGGCAGUGGGAUUGGUCCCCUCAGAUUAGUCAGUUUUUGGAUCGGAGACCGAGUUUUUUUUUUUAAAAAAAAAAAAGCAAAAUUGUAUGUUUUGAUACAUCAUAUCAAAUGUUUCAAAAAUAAAUAUGUGAUAUCAAGUGUAAUAUUAAUUAUCAAAUUUUAGUAUUGUUCUUGGUUAAAUCCACGUGUAUGUUUUGAAAGUACUUAAAAUUGGUAGGAUGGUGAUGUUUUCUUGUUGGUGAUGUGAAUAUGUGCUUUUAUCACAUGGUGUUUUGUUUGGCAAAUUUUACGUACACCCAACAUAUUUGAGUGUACUGAUACAUCAACCCUUUAAUUUUAUAGGUAAAUAAGUUAUUUUUUAUCAUUUAUAAUUAUAAUGAUUAAAUAUUUUUCAUCAAAAAUACAAACGAAAUAAUUUUUUUUAAUUUAUAUCGCUCAUAAUAAAUAACUUUGAUUUAUACGAUAGUAUGUAAAAAAAUUACUAUAAUUCUUAUAAACAAUUAAUGAUGCGUUUUUCUUUUGAAAUUAUAUUUUCUAAAAUAUAAAUGCUGACAAAUAAUUAUUUAUUUCAUAAAAUUGAUCGUUAGUUUAUAAAUUUAUAAAGCAAGAGUACCAGUACACCUCAAUUUACAAGUGUACUGUAAUAGUUCCCGUUUUGUUUUGGUGUUUCUUGUUUUGUGUUGUAGGGUAGGGGGAUCGUUAUGUGAUGCCACAUGAUUGAAACUUAUUUCUACUUGUCUUGUGUUUCAUUAUGUUAGUAUUUUGACAAGUCAUUGUGUAUCCUAUCAAUGGUAUUCUGAUUUAGGAGCAGUUUUGUAUAUUUUGUGCUAGUUUGAUCUUCUUCCAUAAAAUUAGUUUGCUCAUAAACAAAAUUAAACUAGUUGCACACCGGGGUUAUAUUGCAUGAUGCUAAUACAAUAAGGACGUGGAUUUCCAACAAAACACCAAACAUUUGCAAUCUCAUUUCGAGCUUUCCAAAUUGACCAUAUGGAAAAUUCAGGCAAAAUCUUCUGUUGAAAGACAACGAUGUUCUUCGAAAUAUAGGGCUGGAAAAUGUCUUGAAGCAUGAUAAUAUCCUAAAGAUCUUUGGAAUGAAUGAGUAAUAGGGCUCAAUGGGUCUUGGCAACAUAACAACCAAGGGAAUAUAAUACUAUGUUGGUAAGGUACAUCUUUGUAUCUUGAAAGAGAACAAAGUAUACUUGAGAGUUACCUCAUCCUUAGGCAACGAUUUUCCAUAAUAUUUGAAAAGAUUGAGAUUUGAAAUUGUUCAUUGUUGCGAUGAACUCCAAUUAUUCCAAGACAAUCUUUUAUAAAUUGCAUACUUUCAGAACCAAAUUAAAUAUCAAACUCUCAAAUAUACAAAAUCAAUCUAGCUAAACACUUAGCAGAAAAACAAACUUGAUAAUCUCAAGUCCUUGUAGAUCGAUAUUUUUAUUACGACGAUAAGCUCGUGUACUUACGAGCAUAUCAUUGCUGCAUCCAAUGUCAUCCAUGUUAUGUAGAACAAUCCAUUGUAAAAUGUGUGCACAAUUAGCCAUUUCUCCAGCGCAUGGUUUGGGCACAAUUGAAGGAUCUCUUUAAAGAUCUCAUAAGCUUCAUACAUAUUUUUAUGAAAAGAUUGUGAUUGAUCCCACAUAGGCAAUUUUAGAUGGCGAUUGAGAUGUAGUUGACUAAGACACUCCCAUCACCCAAUUUAUUACUUAGAAAAUUUUGAAAAUCUUCAUGCGUAAUCCAGGCCGCCUCAAAUCUGGAAGGAAGAUCUCUACUAGACACUAGUUCCUCCUCAGUAUGAACAAUAAUAGGGUGGUGAUCAUACUGCACACCCGAAAAGACUUUAGCUAUCCCAUCAUGAAAUCUCAAUCUCCAACUGACAUUGCAGAGAAUGUGAUCCAAUCUCUUAAAGACUCUAUCUCUUCCACUCCACUUAGGUCCCCUCCAAGUAAACUUAGUCCUGCUGUAGUAACUUCCAUCAACCUACGGUGAUUGAUUCGAUUGUUAAAAUUCUGACAUUUUCUAAUGUCCACCUGCACUCCUCCUUUUUCUCAUUUGGAUUUGCAAUCUUAUUGAAAUCACCCAUCAUAACCCAUGGUUCUUCAAUAGUAGCCGCCAUAUGGUGAAGCUUUUGCCAUGUUUCGUUCCUCUCGUGCUCCCGAGGACUCGCAUAAACCACCGUAAGCAAUCAAGGGUCCAUACUCUGCUCGCUAACCUGCACAUGGAGAAAGUGAAAGUCAGUUUUAAUUAAAUGAACAAUAAUGUCUAUUCUGUUCCACAUCAGCAAAAUGCCCUCAAAGAAUCCUCUUGGUGCAGAAACUAAAUAUUCCCUCCGUCCCUACAUCUAAGCACUCUUUUAUUAGAGGCAAAUGGUGCUUACAUAUAGAGACGGAGGGAGGGAGUAAAAUUUAAAGCCAAGCUUUUUUAUGGUGUUGAUUGCAAUGUUGCCGCUACACCGUGUUUCCUGCAAGGCCACCACAUGCACUUUAUUAUUCCUGAAAAAAUUAGUAAGUGCUUGUCGGAAAUUUUUUCCUUGAGCACCCCUACAAUUCCAAGUUAUCAUAAUCAUUAAAAAAAAAAGGAUAACACACAAAAGAAGAUAAAAAAAAAAAAAAAACCAUUAAUUCAUGCCCAUUUGAAUAUCAUGGGUCAUCAAACCCAUAAUAUCUUUUUCUUCAGUGCCAUGCUCUUCACGACCUCUCUAUCCACAUUUUUGUUGAUUUCUUCAAUUUGCAUGUGAUCUUUCCCCAUUAAAUUAGGAUCGGGAGGCUUAUUGUGCUUAGUUGGAUUCCCAUCCUUCUUUAUAUGUCCUUCAUACUGUUGGGUAGGCAUGGUAGCUGCUAGUUGUUGCUCUCUUCCCUUGCUGGGCACCACAUUGGACUGCACCUGCCUCUUGAUGAAUAUGGCUCCGACCCCUUGCUUAAAAACUUUAGGCUGGACACCUUCUUUAAUAACAUUGUUUCCUCUUAACACUUCAUAUAAUGCUACUUAUCCUCUAUAUUAAGAUAUAUUACUCUCAUGUAACUAAACAAAAAAAUAUAGUACUCGCCCCCUAUGAAAUAAUACAAGUAAUCAAUGCAACCCACCUCAAUUCUUAAACUUAAACAGUAUAAAAGGACUCUCUUCACAAGCUACCGCCGUCCAAUAAUUCAAUCAAUCUUCUUAAGAUGUAGAGGCAGUUAUUGGUGGUGCGACAAGCGGAUUAAGCCAUCGCACCACCUACCUCCAGAUCUGCUCUGUUUCUAUGGCCAUUCAACACCGAUGGCUUGAGUUUGUCUUUUUGGUAUGCGGUGGUUGAUACCAGAUCCGUUUUCUUUCUUGACGGUGGAUGUAGGUUUUGUUUGCUUGCGACGUAGGUGGUGAUGGAUCGGUCACGUGGUGAUCUGUAUCUGCAUAUUAUCUGUUAUGGUUUUGAUGAAUUUUUUGUUGUGUUGGUUUGUGGUGGUUCGUGGUGGUUUCCAUGGUGAUGUUGAUAUUGAGUUUUUUGUGGUGGUGCUUGUGGUAGCGGCGAAGCUAGCAAAAUUUUCUUGAGGUGGCAGCAUAUAAACCAAAAUAAAAUAAUUUUUGAAAUUAAUAGUAAAUUUUACCAAUAAGCAAAAAGUUAAAUCACAACGACUAUUACAUAUAUAAAAUGUACUUCAUAAAAUACACCUAAAGCAACAAGAAUGGAAUAUAAAAGAUUAUAAUUUACUAAUUACUUUUUUUUUAGCUAUAAUAAAACUUUGGGUAGCCAACUAUGUAUUAUUAGGGGUAGCUAAGUAUACAAAUAUACCUACUUAUUCAAUUAUUUUUUUCUCUUUGGGGUAGCCAUAGCCACCCCUUGAGUAUGAAAGCAUCCGCCCCUGCUUGUGGUGAUUUUUGGUGGUGAUGCUCGUGGCGGCUGGUGUUAUUUUUUGGUGGUGAUGCUAGUGGUGGCUGGUAUUGAUUUUUGGUGAGGAUUAAUGGUGGUUUUUGUGGUGGUUAAUGGUAGUUUUGGUGGUGGUGGUGCUGGUUUUUGUGGUGGUGCUUGUAGUUGCUAGUGGUGGUUUUUUGUGGUAGUUAUGUUUUUUGUGGGUUUUCUUCAAUGGGUUUGUUGUUAUGGGUUUUUCAAACACGUGUUAGACUGUGUUGCUUGUUUCAAGCCAAUUCAUUGUGAUUUUGUGGGGUUGUAUGUUUUUCAAGGUGGUGAUUUUUUGGGUGUUUACAUGUGCUUAAUUGCGCUCAACUGCAGAAGAGAAGCAAUGUGCGAUUACACGAGUUUUUGGUAGGUUUGAUGGUUAUUUUGGAGGGGUUUUGCAACGGUUUGGCACAAGAUUUGUUUCUGCUAUUGCGCGGGUGUUUAGACUUUAGUGUUUGGAGAUGAUUUCUUGGUUUUUGUGUUUAGUUUUUAUUGGUUUCAGGGGCCUCAGUAGAGGGUGUUUUUGGUUUGUUUGUGGAAGUUUGAGGGUGUUUUCGGUUUGUUCGUAGAAGUUUAUAUUUGAUGUAUGGUUGUUUGUUUGGGUGUUCCGCAUAUAUACGACACACUUUUCCUUUGUAUGUUGCAACUUUAAGAUUUCUAGUCCAGCAUUCCUUGUGCUCGCUGGGAUUGUUUGCGUUUUGAAUAAAUUUCAUUUUAACUUCUUCAAAAAAAAAAAAAAAGUAUAAAAGGAGUAAUAUUUUAUUAAGACUACUAUUCUUUAAAAGAUGUCACUUGUUCCAGGGGUGGCUCUGAGGGUGGGUGGAAGGGGCGGCAGCCCAGAGCACCAUUAUCUUUGAGGCACCAAGAUUAAUAUUUUUAUUUAGUAGUUAGUAAUUUAUAGAUAUAUUUUUUUUGGUAAAAUUACAUUUUUAGUCUCUUAACUUAAUUUCAGGUAAUCGUUUGAUACUAUCUUUUUUCAUUUAAAUUUUGUUCGUUUGGUCCAUUUACAUGAAUUUUCAAGCUUUCAAUUUAAUAUUAUAUGCAACCAUAGAUGAAAGACCAUGAAUUUGAAGAUUGAGAGGCCAUAAGAAAAUAAAUACAUGAAUUUUAAGCUUGAAAAUCUAUAUGCAAAUGGCCUAAAAGGACAAAAUUAAAAUGAAAAAAAAUAAAAUAAAGGACUAAAAUGUUACUUGAAAUCAAGUUAACGAACUAAAAAUAUAAUUUUGCCUAUUUCUUUUUAACUCACUCUAAGUAAUCCUAUUGAAAAUACAUUUUUAGAGAACCUUUGAUUAGGAAUGAAUAUUUUGCAACAAAAAUUGUAAAAAGAAAGAUAUUCGAAUAAUUAAAAAUGCACUUUAUUAAUUCGUUCAAGACAUCAAAAAUCUUAGGGCCGACCCUGACUUAUUCAUUGUAUUUAAAAUUUGAAGUAUAGAACUAAUAAAAGAUAGCAUCAUUAAGUAUUUAAGCUCGAUAAAGAAACAGUAACGAAAUCUAAUUUCAACAUUCAAAACAGCAUAGGCUCAAUGUCUAUCAUUAUUCUCGUUUUAUAGCGACUAAACAGAACCAAACCGUAAGCGACUGAUCGACAACAUCUCUCCUAUCCAUUUAUUAUUGUUUUUAUUUGUUCCAUUAUCAAAGUUUUGAUGUAUAACUAUUUGAUUAAUGUAUCAAAUUUUAAAAAUGUAUACAUUUAUAUCAUUUAUUUACUUGAAAACUCUAGUAAUAGAGACUGCCAUUUUUUUUAGGAAAUUGAGAGGAUCUCAACCCAAUAAAAUGACCCCAAUGUUAGUGAAAAUAAGAUUUCAUAGUACAUGAAAUAUGAAUUUCUUGCUGAAAUUUUGACUAUUUAUAUUGAAAAUGAUAUCGCGUAGUUAAUAAAAAAUGACGAAAGAGUUUUAUCAAAUAAAGAAUUGAAUAACAAUAUAAUUUUCAUGACUAUAUAUAGUUUCGUGUGUAUUUUCUUUUGUAAGAUAUACUCCUUUUGAUCUCUAUUAUAAGCAAAAGUUUGCUUUUUAAAUUCAUUCAAUAAAUGAUGCAUGUAGUCUAUAUAAUAGAUCACAUACAUCAUUUAAUGAAUGAACUAAAAAAGUCAAAUUUUGCUUAUAAGAGUGACCGUAGAGAAUAUAAUAUGUAGUUUUAUAUUAAACCAUACAAUUAUUAAUGGUCAAAGUUAGUUAUUGUAUACAGGAGAAGGGGAAUGCUACCAACACAAAUGCUAACAAGUGCUCUAAGAAUAUUGGUUAAGCAUCCAAAAUAAGUAAAUUUGUAAAAAAAAAUUGUCUAAUCAUUACUCGAUCAAAAAUAACAUUUUAUAUUUUUAAGACAAAAUUUUUAUUUCGUAGAUUCCUUAACUAAUGCAAGACCAUUGCUUAUAUUAUCUAUUAAUGUGUUAUAUUUUUCGCCCCCUCGACAUAUUUUUCUAACUCCGUCCCUGUAUGAGGCAAGUCUAGUUUACAAAGGUGUAUAUAUAUGUACAGCAAUGAUAACUGAACAUCAAAAUACAAACACAAAUUUGACACCAAACACUGUUCACCGUAUAUUUAUACGGUAUUUAUACAUCAGUGUUCCUUCUUCUUCUUUUUUUUUUUUCUUUUCUUUUUCUUUCACACUUACGUGACAUUCUCUCACCACCUCCCGGCACCCACUGUCUCUCUCACCGCUGUCUCUCUACAACCACCGCCGUCUAAGCUCUCACCUACCACUGCUUUCUCAUUCUUCUCCGAUCAGCUUAGAUCUGACCACCACCAACAAGUUUGUCCUUCUUUCCGCUUCUGCAAACGACCUGCAACUCUCAGAUUCCGAUCACUGACUGACAAACACCGGAACAUUUUCUGCUUUCCUCUUCAGAUCCGAUCAAUUCAAAUAUGUCUCCACCUCCUACAAAUCCAACCACUUCUGCUGUCACCACCAAAGUCAAAGGACGAGAGAGAAAGAAGAG